This 2517-nucleotide long non-coding RNA is filed under the name Cricetulus griseus (Chinese hamster). Its description in RNAcentral is "lncRNA (ENSCGRG00015041262.1)". Lineage: Eukaryota; Metazoa; Chordata; Mammalia; Rodentia; Cricetidae. The record is from RNAcentral.
UAAGACAAUGCCAAGUCAAGAAGAGGUCAUUUAUUCUUUCUAGUCAAGACACCAGCACUACUUGAUCUUAAUAAAAGCUUGCUUUGUUGUAAGAAAACUGGCCUCUUCUCUAUGAUGCCUACGGAGCAGGGGUUGUUCGAGAAUUCACACAUCUCUUAAGAUCUGCCAGGUCAAAACAAUAACAGAAUGACUGGGAUAUAGUGGAUUCACAAUAAAGAACUAACCUCAAGUCUCAGUCAUGCCUCUCACAAGACCCACUCUGUUUUUCUCCUUCUCUAAGGAAAAACACACACUGUAAAAUAAGAACACUUCAAAGACAACUUGGAGCCAUCUGGGGAUUCUAAAGGCUGAAAAUUCCAUGAGUUCAUAGUAGUCUUCACUAAUUCCACCGAUCACAAGUCAAAAGGGAAAGCCAAGUGUGCCCAAACACAUUUUUGAGGAUUUCUUCCAUCCUCUCCUUGCAGCCUCUCUGGGGGUGGCUGUGCCUGUGAAAAGCAUUGAGAGUCUCAGAAAGAGAGUCACCUUUCAAGACUGGAAUGUCAGAAUAGUCUUUUCUUUAUACCAGAGGGCUCAAGGGGGAAGAGCUUCCAGAUCUUCACGAAGCUGAGCAGGCAUAGGGAUACAGACACUGACCCUUUGAGGAAAUAAUUGCCAAGACAUUGAAAAAAUAAAAAUAAAUGUAAAGCAAGAAGGUGAACAUAAAGCUGAAAGGAAGAAGUACCCAUCCCACAAAGUACCCACCCAACAAAGGCACAUUGCAGCGCUCUGGAAAGAUUGGAGGUUAUGUGGUUGCGUGCACUGUGGGCACUUUCUUGUAAAAAGUGAGCCCUUUACAUUACAACUACUGCCUAUAAGUAUAAUAAAUGGCCUCAGUAGGAAGCAUGAAGUAACUUAGGGUGUUUCCAGGAGUUACAGUGAGAUGGUUAUGAAAUUAUUUGUAGAGAAAUCUUUAAGUGUUUAGGGAUAAUUUGUGAAUAGGUAACCAGAAAGUAUCUUUGGUCAUCACUAGGCCAUUAGAUAACAUGAAACUGGACAUGGGAAUCAAAGAAAGAUUGACCACUAGAAUGAAAACUCCAAAAAAAAAUUGUAUGUAUGUGUGUUUUCUAUUUGCUGUUUCAAUAUCAGCUCUGAAGAAAUGCUUAUCAUUAGUAAGUCCUUGGUGAGAAAGAAUCUUGACUGGGCAUUUUCUAUGAUCAUCCUAGAUGAAAUGUUAAUGGCUCGAAAAGUACAAAUAAUAAGUAACAGUUCCAUUUUGUAUCACACCACUCACAUUGGUUCUCCAUUCUGUGAGCGUGAGAGCUGUUCCAGCAUGGCCAAGUGUAGAAAGAUGGUCCCAGUGAACAAAAGAGCACAUCAUUUGUCCAAACAUAUCUGCUGCUUUAUAAAGAGUUUCUUGUUAAUUUAACGUUUGCUGGGAAAACUGAAUUGCUUUCAUUAUUCCAAUUAGGAUACUACUGAAGAAUUUACUUUUCAAAUAAGUUUUGUUAUGGGUCAGUGAACAAAGAUACUUUAAUUAUAAUUCAAAUGAAACACAUAUUAACAAAUCAACAAAAACCAAUUUCUAUCUGAGAAAGAGUCAUCCCUAUUGGUUUUCCGAAAACCUGAUUGUGACUAAUAUUUUCAAAGGGACUGGAUUAGCUCCAAAGUGGCAUUUCAUUUAACUGGAGGCCCUUUUGGCACCACUUAUCCCUUUUUGUGCAUUCAAGAAACGUCCUUGCUCUGCUUCCUGCCAUAGAUACAAACUUACACUGAAGAACUCACCUAUGUUAAACAAUUAGAAAAAUGCACAGAAAACCUGCAACAGCAAUUCAUUAUCACAGACCUCAAUUACCCUGAAUGGAACACAAACAGCAUAAUGUGCUCUUUCCAAGCAUCAAUGUUAUAAAAAUGAAACAUGUAAUGAAAACUAUCAGUUUUACUCUUACCAUACACAAUAUACACUACAAACAAAUCAUAAAACCCAAAACUAUAAAACUUUAUGAACUUGAGCAGGAAAGACAUCUGAGGACCCAAACUAGUAAAAAUAGAUUUAAUGGCUGGUUAAAGUGCAUACUUCACAAACACAAGGGCAGGAGUUCAGAGGCCAAGAACCUAUGUAUUUCGAGAGAUGGCUCAGAGGCUAAAAGCACCAACUGAUCUUGCAGAGGACCUGGGUUCAUUUCCCAGCACCCACAUUGUGGCUCCCAAGAACCUAUGUAAAUAUCAGGCAGCCACCUAUAAUUCCAGCCUUAGAGGGCAGAGAAUGGGUGCCAGAGAAACUGCGUUAUGGAAAUUAGCCAUGUGAGGCAAGCUUGGAGUUUGAUUGCGACCCUAUUGUUCAACAUCAUUAGCCAUGAAGGAUCAUGAGUCAAAACUACUUGGGUUGUUUCCAGUUUCUUUCUUCAUGUAUUUGCCGCUAUUAAAUAGGCAGUCUACGUUUGGUCUUAGAUUCAUUUUAGUAGUGGCAGUUUUAAAUCAUUGGUUUUGAUGGGUUUGCUUAAAUUAUUAACUUCAUAUAGACUUAAUUUUGAUAAGUAC